Molecule: long non-coding RNA, 660 nt
Filed under: Homo sapiens (human)
Lineage: Eukaryota; Metazoa; Chordata; Mammalia; Primates; Hominidae
Description: HSALNT0050454
Source: RNAcentral
CAGUGGCUGUCUUGAUGUCUCACAGCAGGAAGAGACUCUCUCAAAUAGGUGUACACAUGGGGAGAGAGAGAGCAAGGAGACUGAGAUACAAUCAGCCACCAGCAAGUUGUCUUGAUUUUCUGAAUGGAGCGUGGUAGCAUGUUAUAGAGUCCAAGGAAUUUGCCAAAUCCGUGUGAGAAGAUUUGCCUCUCACAUGUGAGAGAAUUUUUUGAGAAAAAAAAGAUCCUGACCCCGUCCCUCUGCCACCACCCGAGUGAGGAAGACUGACAGAGCACAUUGGCUUGCUGUGGAGACAAGAUCAGGGAAAGCGCCCCUGAAAAGAAAGCAUUUUGGAAGUCCUGAAGGAGAUUUAGAGGAAGAGUGAUAAAUCAGAAGUCUUCGUCCAAGAAUUAGCUUUGCACCAUCUACAGACCUAAGCAGCUGCAGGUAUGAUUUGUUGAUAGAGUUGACACUAUCAGAUGAAUACAGACCCAUGACCUUUAAAUACAAUUUCAUCAUUUAUUUAAAAACUACUUUCUUGAAUGAUUGAACUUACUUAUAGUAAAAAAGUAAAAAGAAAACUAUCAUCAAAAGGAUAUUGGUCACUGGGUUGGCUUCUCAUUGGUAAGUGUGAGGUUUUGAGAGUGUUAUUUGGUGACAACAUCAGCACAGGCAGUUGUG